This is a long non-coding RNA of Pipistrellus kuhlii (Kuhl's pipistrelle), 1832 nucleotides long. RefSeq lists it as uncharacterized. The transcript has 2 exons. The record is from RefSeq and is a predicted model, not a curated record. Lineage: Eukaryota; Metazoa; Chordata; Mammalia; Chiroptera; Vespertilionidae.
ACACUUGCUAAAUGUUUUUAAAUUGCUUAAAAUCCUAGAUGUCAGCAGAUCAGGAUAUGGUAGUGCUUGGCUCUUAGUAUAUGCUCUGAAAUUCUUAUUGAUGAAUGUUGAAUAAAUAGCGAAAAAGGUUUCAGAGAAACUUAAAAACCUAAAAUGAUAAUAGAAUGUUACUGUUGUUACUGUCAAUUUUAUGUGAUACUCAUUUCAUUUAAAAACAACCUGAUUGUACAUUGCCCUGUGAAAAAUAAAAGGAUAAAUUAAGACUUUAUACACAGCAUAAAAAUAAGCUAUAUUUUUAUGGAUUCCUCAAAGAGUAAAAUGUUCUUUUGUAAAUUAUACAGGUAACUGAGGUGUUACUCUUUUAAAGGACAAAAUAAUUUGUAACCAUGUUCAGUGGAAAAUUUUCUGAGUAUUACAUGCCUAGGGCUUAGCCAACAAAGUACACUGAGCGUAAUAAACACAGAAACUUCACAGAAUGUUCAAAUGUGCACAUACUUCAUCACACUAAGGGGAUUGUACUACUCAGUACUGGCUCAGCAUGAGCUGCCUGUCCUGAGAGCUGGUUAGAAAUGCAGGGUCUUAGGCCCCACACCUGCUGGAGGUUACCGUGGUCUGUAGGGGUGAACAGCGCUGGACUCAUGCGCUGAUGCAGCUGAGGAUUCUGGUGCUUCUUACUUUUGCCCAGCCUCUGUCAUGCUUGGCUGACAGUAUCUUUCUAGUUACAAGUGCCUCCUCUGCUGACCAGUCGGUACUCACUGCCCACCUCCCUUUCCACACUGCCGAAGGAAGAGGAACACAGAGAAUCCUGUGACAUCAGAGGCUUCUCAUCUGCACAUUUCUAAGGAAAACGGUGACACUACGAAGCACAGAAACGAGGCUCUCAGAAACAAUGUACGUGUUUGAGACGUUUCUCUGAGCUGCUGGGUGGCAUCCCAGGGCUGCCCACUCUGAGGGCUCUAAAGGAUACAUGGCCUGUGUGGCAUGUUUAUACACAUGAAAUCAAAUCAGAGAUGGUUGAAAGGUAGUAGAACUUCAAACUGAUUUGAAGACACCUGCUUUAAAGCCUGUGUUAGGUGCAUGGAGCAAUAUGAUACAAGAAAUAACAUCCAUUUUGUUGCGGUUCUGGCAGUUAGUGGCAAGCGUGUCAAAUCCUCAGCUGAGUUGGCCAGUCUUAGCAGGAGGUUGUGCCCAGCUAUGGCAGACUCGGGUACAAUCUCACAAUUUCCGUAUAUACUCAAAAGGGGGAAAUCUCAAUUUGUAAUUUGUGAAAUGUUAGGCUAGAGAAGCUUUUAGGAAAUAAAGCAGUAGUUAUACUUGUGCUCACAGUGCUUUCAGAUGCGCUAUACCCAAGAUGGUUUUCCACGAUCAGAAUAGUGUUACAAAGAGGAUUUUAGAACAUGUUCAAGGUUUACCAAUAGAAAACGAAUGAUUACAUUCUCCUUGCAAUAUUAUAUUUGCUUCCUUGACUGCCUUGCUGUAAAAGCUAGGAUUCUGAAUGUGCUUUCUAUAAUGUAAAUAAUUUGAUAGGGUUGCUCUUUCUGGUACUAGAUUUUUUUCUCUCCUUUUUUAAGUAAACAUUUUUCAACUAUAAAAUAGUUGAGUUUAAUUUUAGCAAGUUUUGUUUUCGGCUUUUAAAAUUAUAAGUGGUAGAAAUUUUUAUAUAAUCAAAAGUUUAUAUAAUCAGUUUUAUUUAGAAGAAAACAGGCCAUUUUAAUAAGUGGUUCUAUACAUCGAUAAGAAAAAAUUUAAGAAUGCAUGUUACAAUACCCAAAAAUUAUGACAAAUAUACAGGGUGUCCAUACACACACACACAUACACACACACUUUUAAAA